AUGGCCGGCACUGAGGACGCGCGCCGGCCGCCGGCCCUUCCGUGGACGGUACGCCUCCAGUUUGCGGCACUGUCGCUCGCGCACCGGCCGGACGGCAGCGUCCGGCGCCUCCUCUUCUCCCUCGGCGACCUCCACGCGGCGGCAAGGCCACGCCCGGACGCGUCGGGGGUCCGCUCUGCCGACGUCACCGUCGACGCCUCCCGCGGCCUCUGGGCGCGCGUCUUCUCCCCCUCGUCGGCAGCCGAUGCGCCGGUCCCCGUCGUCGUCUACUUCCACGGCGGCGGCUUCGUGCUCUUCACCGCGGCGUCCCGCCCCUACGACGCGUUCUGCCGCCGCCUCUGCCACGGGCUCGGCGCCGUCGUCGUCUCGGUGAACUACCGCCUCGCCCCCAAGCACCGCUUCCCGGCAGCGUACGACGAUGGCGUGGACGUGCUCCGCUACCUCGACACGAACGGCCUCCCCGCCGACCUUGCCGUCCCCGUGGACCUCUCCAGAUGCUUCCUCGCCGGCGACAGUGCCGGCGGCAACAUCACGCACCAUGUGGCUCAGCGCUGGUCGGAGAUGACAACCACCGCGUCACCAACAUCCCUACGCCUUUCCGGCGUCAUCCUGAUCCAGCCAUUCUUCGGGGGCGAGGAGCGGACGGAGGCGGAGGUGACGCUCGACAAGGUGGGGCCCUCGCUGUCGAUGGUGGUGACGGACGCCUACUGGAGGGAGUUCUUGCCAGAGGGCGCCACCCGGAACCACCCCGCCGCUCGCGUCUGCGGCGAGCGCGUCGAGCUGGCCGAGGCGUUCCCGCCGGCCAUGGUGGUGGUCGGUGGGUUCGACCUGCUCAAGGGCUGGCAGACGCGGUACGUGGAGGCGUUGCGCGGCAAGGGGAACCCGGUUAGGGUGGUCGAGUACCCCAAUGCCAUCCACGGCUUCCACGCGUUCCCGGAGAUCGCCGACUCCGGCAAGCUCGUGGAGGACAUCAAGCUGUUCGUCGACGAGCGUCGGCCUACGAAAUCGUAG
Molecule: ribosomal RNA, 1011 nt
Filed under: Triticum aestivum (bread wheat)
Lineage: Eukaryota; Viridiplantae; Streptophyta; Magnoliopsida; Poales; Poaceae
Description: partial small subunit ribosomal RNA
Source: RNAcentral